RNAcentral lists this ribosomal RNA (253 nucleotides) under uncultured bacterium. RNAcentral's name for it is "partial 16S ribosomal RNA". It matches the Rfam family "Bacterial small subunit ribosomal RNA", at positions 524 to 776 of the family's 1533-position model. The record is from RNAcentral.
UACGGGGGGUGCGAGCGUUGUCCGGAAUCACUGGGCGUAAAGGGCGCGUAGGUGGUCUGAUAAGGGUGUGGUGAAAGCCCGGGGCUCAACCCCGGGUCGGCCGUGCCGACUGUUAGACUAGAGUACUGUAGGGGCAGGCGGAAUUCCGGGUGUAGCGGUGGAAUGCGUAGAGAUCCGGAGGAAGACCGGUGGCGAAGGCGGGUCUCUGGGCCGAAAUUGACGCUGAGGAGCGAAAGCGUGGGGAGCAAACAGG